Non-coding RNA from Pelobates cultripes (western spadefoot toad), 230 nucleotides. NCBI's taxonomy places the organism in Eukaryota, Metazoa, Chordata, Amphibia, Anura, Pelobatidae. The record is from the annotation of a GenBank genome assembly.
AAACCAAGCAGCCAGAUGAACAGGAGAUCACCAGCUUCAAUGCUCUCAAAUAAGGUGAUUGAAGUAGUGUGCCGAGGACACUAUCAGAUGCUCUAGCAGGCACACAGCGAACCCCAGCCCACACUGAAUUUAAAAAGAGCCAAGGAAACGCUGGUUCCAAGCAUGCGCCGACCGCUGGAAUGCACACCAUGUGUUCCAAACCGUUCGCGUCAUACCCGCGUCAUUUCCGG